Sorex fumeus (smoky shrew) is the source of this 634-nucleotide long non-coding RNA. RefSeq lists it as uncharacterized. NCBI's taxonomy places the organism in Eukaryota, Metazoa, Chordata, Mammalia, Eulipotyphla, Soricidae. The record is from RefSeq and is a predicted model, not a curated record. The transcript is spliced from 3 exons.
GGAACAGUACACAAAGGUACUCUCAAACCACAAAAUGCAUGCCCGAGUGCAGAAUGCAUCGCAAGGUGGAUUUGAGUACUUCAGCAGCAUCCACUCUCCCAAGGGAACUGAGGCUUCUGGAAAAGCCCUGUGCCUAGAUGAUCAUUUCUCUCAGGCAUAUAUUAAGAGCGGUUAAAAACCACACCUGCAGAACUGCCACUCCAAUGACAGCUUCAGAAAUUGCCCGCGUCCAGGUGAAGAAGGACCAAGAAGGCCAACCCCAUCCAACAUGACUUCCUUCCAGUGACAAGCAGUAAAUGAAUUACCGUCUAGUAGACCUUAACAGUAAGCCAAGAAGACACAUGCAUAUUAGUCAAUGUUCUGAAGAAAAUAAAUGGGAUGCCUUAUCAGAAAAAAGCCUGGGAUUUAACUUUUGAGAAGGCAGCUCAGUAAGUUCCCUCUAAGGAGACUGUUUUUCAACUGAGAAUUCAAAGGUGGGAAAGAGCCUCCACUCUCUGCAUCAGGGAAGAGUCUUCUGGGCAGACAAGGGAAAGAAGCCCUGAGCUAGAAAGAUCACAAGCUUUUGAGAGUAAUAAAGAAGGCCAGGUGCUAGGGAAGGGAGCGGCUGGAGCCAUAACACAGCUGGGAGGGCAUU